GGUGGGUUCAUCUAACGGUUAGGAUACAAGAUUCUCAAUCUUGGCAUAAGAGUUCGAUUCUCUUACCCACUG
RNAcentral lists this transfer RNA (72 nucleotides) under Prevotella sp. Its description in RNAcentral is "tRNA-Glu". It matches the Rfam family "tRNA". Rfam says of the family: Transfer RNA (tRNA) molecules are approximately 80 nucleotides in length. Their secondary structure includes four short double-helical elements and three loops (D, anti-codon, and T loops). The record is from RNAcentral. Lineage: Bacteria; Pseudomonadati; Bacteroidota; Bacteroidia; Bacteroidales; Prevotellaceae.